Unclassified non-coding RNA from Otolemur garnettii (small-eared galago), 102 nucleotides. It matches the Rfam family "Y RNA". From Rfam's summary of the family: Y RNAs are components of the Ro ribonucleoprotein particle (Ro RNP), in association with Ro60 and La proteins. The Y RNAs and Ro60 and La proteins are well conserved, but the function of the Ro RNP is not known. The record is from Ensembl. NCBI's taxonomy places the organism in Eukaryota, Metazoa, Chordata, Mammalia, Primates, Galagidae.
GGCUGGUCCAAGUGCAGUGGUGUUUACAACUAAUUAAUCACAACCAGUUACAGAUUCCCGUGUUCCUUCUCCAGUCCCACUGCUUCAGUUGACUAGCCUUAA